RNAcentral lists this ribosomal RNA (463 nucleotides) under uncultured bacterium. Its description in RNAcentral is "partial 16S ribosomal RNA". It matches the Rfam family "Bacterial small subunit ribosomal RNA", at positions 28 to 507 of the family's 1533-position model. The record is from RNAcentral.
GAUGAACGCUGACAGAAUGCUUAACACAUGCAAGUCUUUGGCGAAGCUGUGCUUGCACAGCCUAGCCAAGGCGGACGGGUGAGUAACGCGUAAGGAACUUGCCCUGCAGUCAGGGAUAACAGACGGAAACGACUGAUAAGACCUGGUAAAGUCAGGCGGACUCAUGUCCAGCCUGAUGAAAAGAGAUGCUGCAGGAGAGCCUUGCGUCCUAUUAGCUUGUUGGUGGGGUAACGGCCCACCAAGGCGAUGAUAGGUAGCCGGCCUGAGAGGGUGGACGGCCACAAGGGGACUGAGAUACGGCCCUUACUCCUACGGGAGGCAGCAGUGGGGAAUAUUGGACAAUGGGGGCAACCCUGAUCCAGCAAUUCUGUGUGAACGAUGAAGGUUUUCGGAUUGUAAAGUGCUUUCAGCGGGGAAGAAAAAAAUGACGGUACCUGCAGAAGAAGCGACGGCUAAAUACGUG